GCCAGACUCCUACGGGAGGCAGCAGUGAGGAAUAUUGGUCAAUGGCCGAGAGGCUGAACCAGCCAAGUCGCGUGAGGGAUGACGGCCCUACGGGUUGUAAACCUCUUUUGUCGGGGAGCAAAGAGAGUCACGUGUGGCUCAUUGAGAGUACCCGAAGAAAAAGCAUCGGCUAACUCCGUGCCAGCAGCCGCGGUAAUACGUAGGGGGCAAGCGUUAUCCGGAUUUACUGGGUGUAAAGGGAGCGUAGACGGCAAUGCAAGCCAGAUGUGAAAACCCGCAGCUCAACUGGGGGAGUGCAUUUGGAACUGUGUAGCUGGAGUGCAGGAGAGGUAAGCGGAAUUCCUGGUGUAGCGGUGGAAUGCGUAGAUAUCAGGAGGAACACCAGUGGCGAAGGCGGCUUACUGGACUGUAACUGACGUUGAGGCUCGAAAGCGUGGGGAGCAAACAGGAUUAGAUACCCUAGUACA
RNAcentral lists this ribosomal RNA (467 nucleotides) under uncultured bacterium. RNAcentral describes it as "bacterial SSU rRNA". It matches the Rfam family "Bacterial small subunit ribosomal RNA", at positions 330 to 794 of the family's 1533-position model. The record is from RNAcentral.